Molecule: ribosomal RNA, 253 nt
Filed under: uncultured bacterium
Lineage: Bacteria
Description: partial 16S ribosomal RNA
Rfam family: Bacterial small subunit ribosomal RNA
Source: RNAcentral
UACGUAGGGGGCAAGCGUUGUCCGGAUUUACUGGGCGUAAAGAGCGUGUAGGCGGCCAAGCAGGUCCGUUGUGAAAACUGGAGGCUUAACCUCCAGACGUCGACGGAAACCGCGCGGCUAGAGUCCGGAAGAGGAGAGUGGAAUUCCUGGUGUAGCGGUGAAAUGCGCAGAUAUCAGGAAGAACACCCGUGGCGAAAGCGGCUCUCUGGAACGGUACUGACGCUGAGACGCGAAAGCGUGGGGAGCGAACAGG